AGUGAACGCUGGCGGUAGGCCUAACACAUGCAAGUCGAACGGCAGCACAGGAGAGCUUGCUCUCUGGGUGGCGAGUGGCGGACGGGUGAGGAAUACAUCGGAAUCUACUCUGUCGUGGGGGAUAACGUAGGGAAACUUACGCUAAUACCGCAUACGACCUACGGGUGAAAGCAGGGGAUCUUCGGACCUUGCGCGAUUGAAUGAGCCGAUGUCGGAGUAGCUAGUUGGCGGGGUAAAGGCCCACCAAGGCGACGAUCCGUAGCUGGUCUGAGAGGAUGAUCAGCCACACUGGAACUGAGACACGGUCCAGACUCCUACGGGAGGCAGCAGUGGGGAGUAUUGGACAAUGGGCGCAAGCCUGAUCCAGCCAUACCGCGUGGGUGAAGAAGGCCUUCGGGUUGUAAAGCCCUUUUGUUGGGAAAGAAAUCCAGCUGGCUAAUACCCGGUUGGGAUGACGGUACCCAAAGAAUAAGCACCGGCUAACUUCGUGCCAGCCGCCGCCUAA
Molecule: ribosomal RNA, 505 nt
Filed under: uncultured bacterium
Lineage: Bacteria
Description: partial 16S ribosomal RNA
Rfam family: Bacterial small subunit ribosomal RNA
Source: RNAcentral